CCUACGGGAGACAGCAGUGAGGAAUAUUGGUCAAUGGACGAGAGUCUGAACCAGCCAAGUAGCGUGAAGGAUGACUGCCCUAUGGGUUGUAAACUUCUUUUAUAUGGGAAUAAAAUGUUCCACGUGUGGGAUUUUGUAUGUACCAUAUGAAUAAGGAUCGGCUAACUCCGUGCCAGCAGCCGCGGUAAUACGGAGGAUCCGAGCGUUAUCCGGAUUUAUUGGGUUUAAAGGGAGCGUAGGUGGAUUGUUAAGUCAGUUGUGAAAGUUUGCGGCUCAACCGUAAAAUUGCAGUUGAAACUGGCAGUCUUGAGUACAGGAGAGGUGGGCGGAAUUCGUGGUGUAGCGGUGAAAUGCUUAGAUAUCACGAAGAACUACGAUUGCGAAGGCAGUUCACUGGACUGCAACUGACACUGAGGCUCGAAAGUGUGGGUAUCAAACAGGAUUAGAUACCCGUGUAGUC
RNAcentral lists this ribosomal RNA (460 nucleotides) under uncultured bacterium. RNAcentral describes it as "partial 16S ribosomal RNA". It matches the Rfam family "Bacterial small subunit ribosomal RNA", at positions 338 to 795 of the family's 1533-position model. The record is from RNAcentral.